This 1372-nucleotide ribosomal RNA is filed under the name uncultured bacterium. RNAcentral describes it as "bacterial SSU rRNA". It matches the Rfam family "Bacterial small subunit ribosomal RNA", at positions 28 to 1381 of the family's 1533-position model. The record is from RNAcentral.
GAUGAACGCUGGCGGCGUGCCUAAUACAUGCAAGUCGAGCGAACGGACGAGAAGCUUGCUUCUCUGAUGUUAGCGGCGGACGGGUGAGUAACACGUGGAUAACCUACCUAUAAGACUGGGAUAACUUCGGGAAACCGGAGCUAAUACCGGAUAAUAUUUUGAACCGCAUGGUUCAAAAGUGAAAGACGGUCUUGCUGUCACUUAUAGAUGGAUCCGCGCUACAUUAGCUAGUUGGUAAGGUAACGGCUUACCAAGGCAACGAUGCAUAGCCGACCUGAGAGGGUGAUCGGCCACACUGGAACUGAGACACGGUCCAGACUCCUACGGGAGGCAGCAGUAGGGAAUCUUCCGCAAUGGGCGAAAGCCUGACGGAGCAACGCCGCGUGAGUGAUGAAGGUCUUCGGAUCGUAAAACUCUGUUAUUAGGGAAGAACAUAUGUGUAAGUAACUGUGCACAUCUUGACGGUACCUAAUCAGAAAGCCACGGCUAACUACGUGCCAGCAGCCGCGGUAAUACGUAGGUGGCAAGCGUUAUCCGGAAUUAUUGGGCGUAAAGCGCGCGUAGGCGGUUUUUUAAGUCUGAUGUGAAAGCCCACGGCUCAACCGUGGAGGGUCAUUGGAAACUGGAAAACUUGAGUGCAGAAGAGGAAAGUGGAAUUCCAUGUGUAGCGGUGAAAUGCGCAGAGAUAUGGAGGAACACCAGUGGCGAAGGCGACUUUCUGGUCUGUAACUGACGCUGAUGUGCGAAAGCGUGGGGAUCAAACAGGAUUAGAUACCCUGGUAGUCCACGCCGUAAACGAUGAGUGCUAAGUGUUAGGGGGUUUCCGCCCCUCAGUGCUGCAGCUAACGCAUUAAGCACUCCGCCUGGGGAGUACGACCGCAAGGUUGAAACUCAAAGGAAUUGACGGGGACCCGCACAAGCGGUGGAGCAUGUGGUUUAAUUCGAAGCAACGCGAAGAACCUUACCAAAUCUUGACAUCCUUUGACAACUCUAGAGAUAGAGCUUUCCCCUUCGGGGGACAAAGUGACAGGUGGUGCAUGGUUGUCGUCAGCUCGUGUCGUGAGAUGUUGGGUUAAGUCCCGCAACGAGCGCAACCCUUAAGCUUAGUUGCCAUCAUUAAGUUGGGCACUCUAAGUUGACUGCCGGUGACAAACCGGAGGAAGGUGGGGAUGACGUCAAAUCAUCAUGCCCCUUAUGAUUUGGGCUACGCACGUGCUACAAUGGACAAUACAAAGGGCAGCGAAACCGCGAGGUCAAGCAAAUCCCAUAAAGCUGUUCUCAGUUCGGAUUGUAGUCUGCAACUCGACUACAUGAAGCUGGAAUCGCUAGUAAUCGUAGAUCAGCAUGCUACGGUGAAUACGUUCCCGGGUCU